This 75-nucleotide transfer RNA is filed under the name Xylella fastidiosa. RNAcentral's name for it is "tRNA-Val". It matches the Rfam family "tRNA". From Rfam's summary of the family: Transfer RNA (tRNA) molecules are approximately 80 nucleotides in length. Their secondary structure includes four short double-helical elements and three loops (D, anti-codon, and T loops). RNAcentral also lists the same sequence under 1 other name. Lineage: Bacteria; Pseudomonadati; Pseudomonadota; Gammaproteobacteria; Lysobacterales; Lysobacteraceae. The record is from RNAcentral.
GGGCGGUUAGCUCAGUGGUAGAGCACUACCUUGACAUGGUAGGGGUCACAGGUUCAAACCCUGUACCGCCCACCA